This 59-nucleotide ribosomal RNA is filed under the name Alternaria alternata. RNAcentral describes it as "partial 28S ribosomal RNA". It matches the Rfam family "Eukaryotic large subunit ribosomal RNA", at positions 1 to 56 of the family's 3401-position model. The record is from RNAcentral. Lineage: Eukaryota; Fungi; Ascomycota; Dothideomycetes; Pleosporales; Pleosporaceae. RNAcentral also lists the same sequence under 6 other names.
UUUUGACCUCGGAUCAGGUAGGGAUACCCGCUGAACUUAAGCAUAUCAAUAAGCGGAGG